AUUUAAAUAGUUUAAUUAAAACAUUGGUUUGUGGGACCAAAGAUGUAAUUUUUAUUACUUUAGAUA
This 66-nucleotide transfer RNA is filed under the name Staphylinidae sp. BMNH 1274251. RNAcentral describes it as "tRNA-His". It matches the Rfam family "tRNA". Rfam says of the family: Transfer RNA (tRNA) molecules are approximately 80 nucleotides in length. Their secondary structure includes four short double-helical elements and three loops (D, anti-codon, and T loops). Further hydrogen bonds mediate the characteristic L-shaped molecular structure. tRNAs have two regions of fundamental functional importance: the anti-codon, which is responsible for specific mRNA codon recognition, and the 3' end, to which the tRNAs corresponding amino acid is attached (by aminoacyl-tRNA synthetases). tRNAs cope with the degeneracy of the genetic code in two manners: having more than one tRNA (with a specific anti-codon) for a particular amino acid; and 'wobble' base-pairing, i.e. permitting non-standard base-pairing at the 3rd anti-codon position. The record is from RNAcentral. Lineage: Eukaryota; Metazoa; Arthropoda; Insecta; Coleoptera; Staphylinidae.